RNAcentral lists this transfer RNA (66 nucleotides) under Salmonella enterica subsp. enterica serovar Newport. RNAcentral describes it as "tRNA-Asn". It matches the Rfam family "tRNA", at positions 7 to 64 of the family's 71-position model. Rfam says of the family: Transfer RNA (tRNA) molecules are approximately 80 nucleotides in length. Lineage: Bacteria; Pseudomonadati; Pseudomonadota; Gammaproteobacteria; Enterobacterales; Enterobacteriaceae. The record is from RNAcentral.
UCUGUAGUUCAGUCGGUAGAACGGCGGACUGUUAAUCCGUAUGUCACUGGUUCGAGUCCAGUCCGA